This 468-nucleotide ribosomal RNA is filed under the name uncultured bacterium. RNAcentral describes it as "partial 16S ribosomal RNA". It matches the Rfam family "Bacterial small subunit ribosomal RNA", at positions 28 to 507 of the family's 1533-position model. The record is from RNAcentral.
GACGAACGCUGGCGGCGUGCUUAACACAUGCAAGUCGAACGGAAAGGCCCUGCUUUUGUGGGGUGCUCGAGUGGCGAACGGGUGAGUAACACGUGAGUAACCUGCCCUUGACUUUGGGAUAACUUCAGGAAACUGGGGCUAAUACCGGAUAGGAGCCCCCGCUGCAUGGUGGGGGUUGGAAAGUUUCGGCGGUUGGGGAUGGACUCGCGGCUUAUCAGCUUGUUGGUGGGGGAGUGGCUUACCAAGGCUUUGACGGGUAGCCGGCCUGAGAGGGUGACCGGCCACAUUGGGACUGAGUUACGGCCCAGACUCCUACGGGAGGCAGCGGUGGGGAAUAUGGCACAAUGGGCGGAAGCCUGAUGCAGCAACGCCGGGGGCGGGAUAACGGCCUUCGGGUUGUAAACCGCUUUCGCCUGUGACGAGGCGUGAGUGACGGUAAUGGGUAAAGAAGCACCGGCUAACUACGUG